UUGGCUUAAGGUGGUACCUAACACUACAGGGAGAUAACUCUGUAAAGUCAACUUAACGUUUUAAUUACGUUGUGUUGUAAAAGGAAUAGAAUCAUAUUCAAAACAGUGUAGCUGUGGCCAUUGAUUGACAACCUUAAAUUUUCCCAUUGACUGGGGCAGAUUAGGUGAACGUGUGUCUGUAACGACAACUGCUCACUACUUAUUUAUUAUAGAAUUUAAACUGUAGGGUCACCAAAGGUUCUUAACGCCUUUAAUAUUAAAAUAGUUCGAAAAAUUAA
This 278-nucleotide long non-coding RNA is filed under the name Mytilus galloprovincialis (Mediterranean mussel). The record is from RNAcentral. Lineage: Eukaryota; Metazoa; Mollusca; Bivalvia; Mytilida; Mytilidae.